UACAUUUUGGUGUAUGGUGCACAAAAGUUUUUGAUAUUUUAGGUAAUAGUUUAAUUCUAUUAAAUGUAA
RNAcentral lists this transfer RNA (69 nucleotides) under Polyzosteria limbata. RNAcentral's name for it is "tRNA-Gln". It matches the Rfam family "tRNA". From Rfam's summary of the family: Transfer RNA (tRNA) molecules are approximately 80 nucleotides in length. Their secondary structure includes four short double-helical elements and three loops (D, anti-codon, and T loops). The record is from RNAcentral. RNAcentral also lists the same sequence under 2 other names. Lineage: Eukaryota; Metazoa; Arthropoda; Insecta; Blattodea; Blattidae.